ACUCCUACGGGAGGCAGCAGUGGGGAAUAUUGCACAAUGGGCGCAAGCCUGAUGCAGCGACSCCSCGUGAGGGAUGAAGGCCUUCGGGUUGUAAACCUCUUUCAGCAGGGAAGAAGCGAAAGUGACGGUACCUGCAGAAGAAGCGCCGGCUAACUACGUGCCAGCAGCCGCGGUAAUACGUAGGGCGCAAGCGUUGUCCGGAAUUAUUGGGCGUAAAGAGCUCGUAGGSGGUUUGUCGCGUCUGCUGUGAAAACCUGAGGCUCAACCUCGGGCUUGCAGKGGGUACGGGCAGACUAGAGUGCGGUAGGGGUGACUGGAAUUCCUGGUGUAGCGGUGGGAUGCGCAGAUAUCAGGAGGAACACCGAUGGCGAAGGCAGGUCACUGGGCCGSAACUGACGCUGAGGAGCGAAAGCAUGGGGAGCGAACAGGAUUAGAUACUCUGGUAGUCCAUGCCGUAAACGUUGGGCGCUAGGUGUGGGGCUCAUUCCACGAGUUCCGUGCCGCAGCAAACGCAUUAAGUGCCCCGCCUGGGGAGUACGGCCGCAAGGCUAAAACUCAAAGGAAUUGACGG
RNAcentral lists this ribosomal RNA (571 nucleotides) under uncultured Cellulomonas sp. Its description in RNAcentral is "bacterial SSU rRNA". It matches the Rfam family "Bacterial small subunit ribosomal RNA", at positions 335 to 916 of the family's 1533-position model. The record is from RNAcentral. Lineage: Bacteria; Bacillati; Actinomycetota; Actinomycetes; Micrococcales; Cellulomonadaceae.